This 423-nucleotide ribosomal RNA is filed under the name uncultured Acinetobacter sp. RNAcentral describes it as "bacterial SSU rRNA". It matches the Rfam family "Bacterial small subunit ribosomal RNA", at positions 355 to 769 of the family's 1533-position model. Lineage: Bacteria; Pseudomonadati; Pseudomonadota; Gammaproteobacteria; Moraxellales; Moraxellaceae. The record is from RNAcentral.
UGGGGAAUAUUGGACAAUGGGGGAAGCCCUGAUCCAGCCAUGCCGCGUGUGUGAAGAAGGCCUUAUGGUUGUAAAGCACUUUAAGCGAGGAGGAGGCUCUUCUAGUUAAUACCUAGGAUGAGUGGACGUUACUCGCAGAAUAAGCACCGGCUAACUCUGUGCCAGCAGCCGCGGUAAUACAGAGGGUGCGAGCGUUAAUCGGAUUUACUGGGCGUAAAGCGUGCGUAGGCGGCUUUUAAGUCGGAUGUGAAAUCCCCGCAGCUAAUACUUGGGAAUUGCAUUCGAUACUGGGAAGCUAGAGUAUGGGAGAGGAUGGUAGAAUUCCAGGUGUAGCGGUGAAAUGCGUAGAGAUCUGGAGGAAUACCGAUGGCGAAGGCAGCCAUCUGGCCUAAUACUGACGCUGAGGUACGAAAGCAUGGGAGC